UACCAGCACCCCGAGUGGUCGGGGCGAUUAUUGGGCCUAAAGCAUCCGUAGCCGGUUUUACAAGUCCUCCGUUAAAUCCAGCUGCUUAACAGAUGGGCUGCGGAGGAUACUAUAAGACUAGGAGGCAGGAGAGGCAAGCGGUACUCAGUGGGUAGGGGUAAAAUCCGUUGAUCCAUUGAAGACCACCAGUGGCGAAGGCGGCUUGCCAGAAUGCGCUCGACGGUGAGGGAUGAAAGCUGGGGGAGCAAACCGG
Molecule: ribosomal RNA, 253 nt
Filed under: uncultured bacterium
Lineage: Bacteria
Description: partial 16S ribosomal RNA
Rfam family: Archaeal small subunit ribosomal RNA
Source: RNAcentral